Molecule: long non-coding RNA, 1050 nt
Organism: Amphiprion ocellaris (clown anemonefish)
Lineage: Eukaryota; Metazoa; Chordata; Actinopteri; Pomacentridae
Source: Ensembl
UUUUCUUUCUGUGUAUAAUUUGACUCUGUUGCAUUGAGCAGCAUGUGUUCUUUAUUAAGAGUAGCCGUAUGUUGAUGCUUCAUUCAUGCAGGGACGUCUCCAACGGGGCACCAGAGGGGCCUCAGCCACUCCACAUCUAAUAACUCUGAUGUCCUGGUUUCAGUAAAUGCAACUUAAGGUGCCCAAGUGCAGGUGAAAGCAGCAUUAAAUGACUAUCAGCGAUGUUUUAGCAGCAGCAGGUGGGCUCAGCGACCAUCCAUAAACAUCGCAAAGCACCAAAGACAACUUUAGUUGUCUUUGGAGCUGAAGGUUAAGCCUCUUCAGACUCUUUCCCAUUAAUCUGAUGGCAACUGAACGUGUCUGUUAAUUCUGCAUCUGAAUUAACUUUUCUGUUAAAGAUGAGACAACAGUCCAGCACCAGUCUGACCUGCAUGCUCUCACAUUAACAGAUAGACACAAGCCAGCUGUGUGAGGUGAUUUAUGGAGAACUUUUUCCACAUUUCAGUGCCAGUGUUGAUUGGAAAAUAUCAGAACAAUAAACAAAUUUUACUGUCAAAGUUACAAAACACCUUCCUCAUUCGUGCUGCUCUACCAUUUCACAUCCAUGACAAACUUGAAGUAAAACCGACUAAGCUGAGAUUAGUGACUUUUUUUGUCCAAAAUGGAUCUGACAUUAAGUUUGUUGCUUCCAGCUGUUUUUAGGAGUUAAAUAACAGCAGCAGGAUCCAUAUGAGCGAUUCCAAAGCAGAAAGCUGCAUUCAUUUGUGGGCGUGGAACAACGAAACAACAGUGCAGGUAAGAAUGAAUUAAUUAUAAAUUAUCGGCAACAUGGAGAGACGAUCGAUCAGGACCUUAGAGCAAGCCAUGCUGUGUAUUUUAGUGAGCUGUCCCACAGUCACAGUUAAAUCAAAUGCUUUCACUUUGUCAUAUUUAGGAUCGGAACUGUGACAGAGUUUCUGCACUUGGGCUGUUGCCGUGGGAACAGCACAUCCGCAAGCUUCAGAGCUCAUCGGUAAGUCUUUGCUUUAUGUUUUAUCCUAAAAACACCAA